GGCCACUCCUACGGGAGGCAGCAGUGAGGAAUAUUGGUCAAUGGUCGGGAGACUGAACCAGCCAAGCCGCGUGAGGGAGGAAGGUACAGAGUAUCGUAAACCUCUUUUGUCAGGGGACAAAGACUGGGACGCGUCCCCGGAUGAGCGUACCUGAAGAAAAAGCAUCGGCUAACUCCGUGCCAGCAGCCGCGGUAAUACGGAGGAUGCGAGCGUUAUCCGGAUUUAUUGGGUUUAAAGGGUGCGCAGGCGGUCUGUUAGCUCAGCGGACACCGCCGGGGCCCCCACCCCGGCCCGCCGUUGAAACUGGCAGUCUCGAGUUGGAGAGAAGUAUGCGGAAUGCGCGGUGUAGCGGUGAAAUGCAUAGAUAUCGCGCAGAACUCCGAUUGCGAAGGCAGCAUGCCGGCUCCACACUGACGCUGAGGCACGAAAGCGUGGGUAUCGAACAGGAUUAGAUACCCGGGUAC
This 464-nucleotide ribosomal RNA is filed under the name uncultured bacterium. Its description in RNAcentral is "bacterial SSU rRNA". It matches the Rfam family "Bacterial small subunit ribosomal RNA", at positions 331 to 793 of the family's 1533-position model. The record is from RNAcentral.